UACGGAGGGAGCUAGCGUUGUUCGGAAUUACUGGGCGUAAAGCGCACGUAGGCGGCGAUUUAAGUCAGAGGUGAAAGCCCGGGGCUCAACCCCGGAACUGCCUUUGAGACUGGAUUGCUAGAAUCUUGGAGAGGCGAGUGGAAUUCCGAGUGUAGAGGUGAAAUUCGUAGAUAUUCGGAAGAACACCAGUGGCGAAGGCGGCUCGCUGGACAAGUAUUGACGCUGAGGUGCGAAAGCGUGGGGAGCAAACAGG
This 253-nucleotide ribosomal RNA is filed under the name bacterium. Its description in RNAcentral is "partial 16S ribosomal RNA". It matches the Rfam family "Bacterial small subunit ribosomal RNA", at positions 524 to 776 of the family's 1533-position model. RNAcentral also lists the same sequence under 2 other names. The record is from RNAcentral.